This 201-nucleotide long non-coding RNA is filed under the name Homo sapiens (human). RNAcentral's name for it is "HSALNT0112166". The record is from RNAcentral. Lineage: Eukaryota; Metazoa; Chordata; Mammalia; Primates; Hominidae.
CCUGUGACCCUCCACUCUGCAGCCCUUGGCAGCCACCAUUCUACUCCCUGCUUCUAUGAAUUUUGACUUUUUUAGGUUACACGUAUGAGUGAGAUCAUGCAGUAUUUGUCCUUCUGUGUCUGGUGUAUUUCACUUAGCAUAUUGUGUUCUAGGUUCAUCCAUGUUGUCAAAAAUAGCAGGAUUUUCUUCUUUUUUAAGGCU